CUACCGGGCGACCGGAUGCGGAUCUCGAAAGCCUGUCCCAGUUCGGACUGGAGUCUGCAACCCGACUCCACGAAGUUGGAUUCGCUAGUAAUCGCGCAUCAGCCAUGGCGCGGUGAAUACGUUCCCGGGCCUUGUACACACCGCCCGUCAAGCCAUGGGAGCCGGGGGCGCCUGAAGUCCGGGACCGCGAGGACCGGCCUAGGGCGAAACUGGUAACUGGGGCUAAGUCGUAACAAGGUAGC
RNAcentral lists this ribosomal RNA (242 nucleotides) under uncultured bacterium. RNAcentral describes it as "partial 16S ribosomal RNA". It matches the Rfam family "Bacterial small subunit ribosomal RNA", at positions 1250 to 1500 of the family's 1533-position model. The record is from RNAcentral.